Molecule: long non-coding RNA, 5752 nt
Filed under: Homo sapiens (human)
Lineage: Eukaryota; Metazoa; Chordata; Mammalia; Primates; Hominidae
Description: HSALNT0271565
Source: RNAcentral
AGUAUCAAUAUACUUAGCCUUUGGUGACAGUGGCAGGUUCAAAGUAUUUGGGGGCAAUUCUUCCUUCUAAUGUGUUAUUGGUCAUGACGGUGCAGCCAUGUAUAAGGAGAAAAGAUUACCAGAGAUGUGCAAUAGUUUGAAAUCUUAUAAACAGUGGGAUUUCCAGAACAAAAAAGGCAGAUGCUGGCUUACUUAGUGCUCAUUCAUUCACAGCUAUGAGGUGUCCUCUGGGAGAUAGGCCUUAGAUUGGACCUAUGUCUUAGUCCAUUUUGUGCUGCCAUAACAGAAUAGCACAAACUGGGUAAUCCUCAAAGAACGGAGAUUUAUUUCUUAUAGUUCUGAAGCCUGGGUAGUCCAAGAUCAAAGGACUGGUAUCUGGUGAGGGCCUUCUUGCUGCAUCAUCCUAUAAUGGAAGGUGAAAGGGAAAAAGUCCUAAUUCAAGAACAUUUCAUACAUAAUCACUUUGAUAAAAAAGGAGAUUGGCAAGAGCAUAAAAAUAUUUAAAACACUAGAUUAAUGAAUCCAAAGCUACAUAAAGAUCUUAUAAUAACAGUAGUAAACAUUUUGAGAAAUGUGUAGAAACUCCUAACUGCAGGGUUUUAUAACCAAUAUGUUAUAACUAAUAUAAAAGCAAUAUGUUGCUAAUAGACAGCCAUACUUCACACUAAGUUCUCUAAUGGGAUAACUUGCAGGAUUCAUAAUUUAACAACAGAUUGAAAAAGGAAAAUUUUUAGAUUCAGUAGCAAACAUUUUGGAUUUCUCAACAACACUUUCUCCCUAAAUUGCUGUGAAAUACAUUAUUCAUCAAUACCUAGAUCCAGAAAUAUUCACUGAGGGCCUGUAGUGGCAGGUAGUGAAUUCAUUGAGGCAACCCAUGCAAAGUGCACCCGCAGAGCCUGUGAUGUGAGGGGGAUUUAAACAUAAGUUGCCCUCACUCUACUUCUUAAAAAUAUUUUCAAAUGAUUCAUUAACAUUCUUAUUUUAUAUGAUCCUUGAAUUAGUUAGAUGUAUAUUCCUCAAUCUCCAAGUAUUUUGAAAUUUUUCUAUCAUUUUGCUAUUAAUUUUUAGUUAAAGUCCUCAUGUUUGAGAACUUAUUUUGUAUGAUUACUGUUAUUUUAAUUUCACACAUGUAUGUCCAAUGGCCAAGAAUGUUCUCUAUCUUGCAGAGCAUUCCCUGUGAGGUUGAGAAGAUGUAUAUUUUGCUAUUGGAACGAUAAUUCUAUAAAUGUCAGUUGGAUCAAGUUACUGAAAUAGGGGCUGAAAUCUCUAUCUAUAAUAAUAAAUGUGUAUGUUUCUCCUUGCGGUUAUCAGUUUUUGUCACAUAUUUUGACACUUGAUUUUUAAGUGAAUGCUUCAAGGUUUGCUAAUGUCUUUUUGGAGAAUUAAACCUUUUAUCAUUAUCAUUAGGUAAUGUCCCUCUUUAUCUGUAAUAAUUUUCCUUCUGCUCUGUUUUGUCUGAAAUGAAUAAAGCUGCUCCAGCUUUCUUUUGAUUAGUGAUAGCAUCCAUGUCUUUCUUUAUCUCCUUUACUUUUAGCCUAUCUAUGUCUUUAUAGUUAAAAUUGGUUUCUUGUAGGGAACAGAUAGAGUUUUUCCCCCUGCACUCAAAAUUUGUCUGUUAACUGAUAUAUUUAGAUCAUUCACAUUUAAAGUGACUAUUAAUAUAUUUCAAUCAGUAUCGAUUAUGUUUGUAGCUUUUAAAAUUUUCUUGAACAUUAUUUGUUUCUUUUUUAUCUCUUCUCUUUUUAUAUCUUCUCUGGUUUUCAUUGAAGUUUGAAUGAUUUCAUUUUACUUCCUCUCUUAACCUAUCAAUUAUACUUUUUAAAAAAUGGUUAUUUUAGAGUUUACCACAUACAUUUAUAAUGAAUUUAAGUUCAUUUUUAAAUAACACUAUGCCUCCUUACUGGUUUUUCAGGUAACUUAUAGAGUAUUUCCACUUCCCUUCUCCUAUCCCUUGAAAAAUUGUCAUUUAUUUCUCUUAUCCAUAUGGCAUAAUCAAAGAAUAAAUUGGUGAUAUUUGUUCAAAAAUCCAUGCCUAUUAGAUUCAUUUAGAAUAUAAAAAAAUUUUAUUUUAUUUUCACUUAUUUCUUCUCCACUGAUUUUUCUAUUUUUAUGUAGAGAUGAGUUUCUGACAUAUAUUUCUUCUUCCUGAAGAAAAUAUUUUAACAUUUCCUGCAUGGGUGGUCUCUGGUCAUAAAUUCCCUUAGUUUUUGUUUGAGCAAGUAUUUAUCUGUUGAUGACUUUUCAAGGAUAGUUUUGUGGGAUACAGAAUUCUAGAUCAGCGUUUUUUUUUUUUUUCCCUUUCUACUCUUGAUAUAGUUCAUCCCACACUCUUCUUGCUGACAGGACUUCUGCCAAGGACAACUUUCCUGUAAUGUUUAUCUUUCCUUAUUCCUCCAUAGGUAAGGUUGUUUUUUUGUUUUUGUUUUUUUCUCAGAAUUUCCUUUUUUUUUUCUUUUUCUUUCUGCAGUUUGACUUUGCCAUGCAUAGGUGUCAUUUUUUGUUAUUUAUCCUAUGUCCUGUUUUUACAUUUUUUUUAAUUAUAAAAAGGGAGGGUGCUUAUUGGCUUCCUGGAUCUAUGGUUUCUUAAUUGUCACCAAUUUUAUAAUGUUCUCCACCACUCUUGCUUCAAAUAUUUUUUCUUUUCUUUUUCUCCUCUUGGCAUUCCAAUUGUGCAUAUGUUACAACUUUUGAAUUUGCCCAGAAGUUCUUGGAUAUUACGUUUUUCUCUUUUUUUCUAUAAAUUUCUGCUUGAAAAGUUUCUACUGAUUUAUCUUCUGAAUCACCAGUUCUUUCCUCAGUCAGUUUAUUGAUGUGUACAUCCAAACCAUUCUUAAUUUUCGUUAGUGUUUUUUAAUUUUACGAAUUUCUAUUGAUACUUUCAUAGAGUUUUUAUUUGUCUGCUUUUAUUACACAUAUGUUAUUGCAUGUUGUCUACUUUUUUCAUUAGAGCUCUCAGCAUAUUAAUCAUAGUUAUUUUAAAGCCACUGUAAAACUUCUGAUAUCUGCUUGUGAUCUGGCUUUGAAACUUGUUUCUUCUUUCCAGACUGUUUUCCUGCCUUCACAUGACUUACCAUUUGUUUUGUUGUUAUUGUUGAAAGCCUAGCAUGCUAUAUCAAGUUAUAGAAAAUGAGGUAGAUAGGCCGUUAGUGUGUUUAAUCAAGUUUAGCCUAAAACUGCCUCCUUACAUAUUUUAAGUUCCACCUAAAGUCUUCUCUAUACGUUGUGAACUGUAAAAAGUGGAGGUGUAAACAGACCAUAGCUUACACUUGUGCCAGUCACCAAGUUAUGGUCAAUCAAAUGUAGCCAACUCUUCAAAUAAGUCAAACUCCCAGCUGUAACCAAUCCAUCUAUUUCUGUAUCUUACUUCCUUUUUUCUGUACCUCACUUUCCUUUUUCUGUCCAUAAAUCACGUGGCUGUGCCGGAGUCUCAAAGAGCCUAGUCUCGUUCAGGAGGUUGCCUGAUUCACAUAUCUUUCAUUGUUCAGUUAAACUGUUUUAAAUUAAAUUUGGCAGAAGUUUCUCUUUUAUCAAGUGUGAAGUUUUAUGUAAAUCUUUCUAGGACUUGAACUGUAUUUAAUUUUCGCUGUAGCCAUGGGUGCCAAGGCCUUCAAAUUCCUCUAGUAUUCUUACUUGUCUCUCUUCUUUGUUUUUUGUUUCUUUAAAAAUUCCUUUUUUAAUAGAGCCUGAAGCUCUGUCAUUGUGAAAAUAAGGAACAGGGUAGGAGAGGCAUUUUAUAAUCUUAUACAAUCUCAGUCUUUUGGUGGUUCUGCAUCCCUGGGUUGUGUCCUUUACAAGCAUCUCUUACCUCUCUCCCCUCCUUCAACUUUAGGUGAGAUAAGAAAGCACGAGAGUGCUGGAACUAGAUAAUUGCUUUUCUGCCUAUGGAAGAUAAAUCACCGGCAAGUUCAUUUUCAGUGGAAAAUAAUCCAUUUUUCUGGGGUAUGCAUAGUUGUAUUUCAAAGUGGUCACUUUUGUCCUCUCCCUGGCCAAAGACAUGAGCUGAGUUUUCUUGGAUCUCCACCAUGAGAACCUGGUAGCCCAUAAAGUUGUAGGGGGUCUCUCUAAGAUUACAGUCCCCAGAAGUUUUUUAUUCUCAAGCUAGUCUACACUGAGCCUCCAACAAUUUAUUGACUACUGUUGAAAUGUCCCAGUUUAUAGUUCUAUCAGGGCCUCUUCUAAGUAACCUGAUCUGAGGUUUGUUUCUUUGUAUUCAGUUUGUUUUUUUCAGAUCCAAAGCAACGCAAUACUCUGAUGCAUGCAAGAAAACUCACUGAUUUUUCAAUUGCUCAUCUUUUUUUUUUUUUUUUAAGAUGGGAAUGAUAACUUUCAAACCCUUUUCUUGUUAGAGGUGAAACUAUAUACCCUGGUUUUUCACAAAUUCAGAUUAUUGGCCUUGGAGCAAAAAACAAACAAACAAACAAACAACAAAUCAGAACCUCAUGGAAGUUGAUAUGGAAUGCACAUAGGAGCCCCCUUAAUACACAUUUACAACCUCUUAAGACACAGAUGUUAUGAAAUCUAAUUUUCUUUAGUUUCUGUACAGAAGAACUUCAUAUUUCUCUAAAGCAGUAAUAGGUUUUCUCAUAAAUCUUGCAAAUUCACUCCAAACACAUAUACAAGUAGAAAAGGCAUAACAAUGAAAUGGCCUUGGAUAUAGAACCAAUAUUCUAUGAAUAUCUAACAGAUGUAUGAAACAUUACAGGCAUUCAGUAUGCACAAGGAUUUCAUUACUGCCCUGGGGUCUGCAACAUUAUUUUGCUGAAAAUAACCUUAAACAGCUAAGCAAUGACAGCCUUUCUUCUUAUUACCUGGCAUCCUCACUUUAAGUGGUAACUUCAACAGUUCAUCUAGGCUCUGCCUUCUUUCCACCGUCAUUAAUGAUUUGCAGUGAGUCAGUUUUCAUGGAUUACCCACAUUGCAUUUUGAUACUGAUGACUAAUUCUCUAGCGGUUUUCUAUACUUAGAUGAAAUGGAGAAAUCUUUCCUUUUUUCACAUAUGAAGAACCACUUCAAGUUACUAAUAUGAAGGUAACCAAACAGGGCUUCUCCUUUAAACUAUGCUAAUUUUUCUGUCUUCUUGUUUUGUGAUACUUGUGUCAUUUAGUGAUCAGGUGUGAUCUCAUACUCUAUGAAUCAUGCUAUCAACCAAAAUGACUCUAUUUUAAUGAACUGAGCCACAAUUAAAACAAACAAACAGGCUAUUUCAUACCAAAAUGCUGAUUUAACAAUUCUUUUAAACUUGGAAAAUUGGCAACCUUAUGUAUGUAUCUCUACAUGGAAAUAAUCGGAUAUCAGAUAAUGAAGACAGGAGUUAUGUGAACCUGCUUUUGGGACUUGGGUAGAGUGUGAUACCAGCUGCUUUUCUCCUCACCAUAAAUGCUUUCUCCGGAAAAUUCUACCCCUAACUCUUACCGGGGGUCCUUGCUCACAGAGCUCCUCAGAUGGUGGCGAGCCACUUCCAAGAUGGUGGUAGGCCACUUCCAAGAUGGUGGCUAGCCUCGUGUUCUCUGACCUGGGGUUCUUGGCCUCACAGAUUCCAAGGAAUGGAAUCUUGGGCCGUGCGGUGAGUGUUAUAGCUCUAUUAGAAGCCAUGGGUCAUGGAAGAGAACCGUGGAACCCAGUGACUAGUGUUCAGCUCAAUUAGGAUGAACCUGGGCACUUAGCCGUGCAGGAACAACGGCAAGCCUUUAGCCCAAUCAGGAUUGGCAAUGGGUGCCUCGCUGGUUCAGGAGCACAGCGGACAGCCUGCCGG